UUUGCCUACGGGGGGCAGCAGUGAGGAAUAUUGGUCAAUGGGCGGAAGCCUGAACCAGCCAAGUCGCGUGAGGGAAUAAGGCCGUACGGGUCGUAAACCUCUUUUGCCGGGGAGCAAGGGCCGGGACGCGUCCCGGCCCGGAGAGUACCCGGCGAAAAAGCCUCGGCUAACUCCGUGCCAGCAGCCGCGGUAAUACGGAGGAUGCGAGCGUUAUCCGGAUUUAUUGGGUUUAAAGGGUGCGUAGGCGGGCUUUUAAGUCCGCGGUAAUAAUUCGGGGCUCACCCCCGUCCGGCCGUU
Molecule: ribosomal RNA, 297 nt
Filed under: uncultured bacterium
Lineage: Bacteria
Description: partial 16S ribosomal RNA
Rfam family: Bacterial small subunit ribosomal RNA
Source: RNAcentral